CCAUUCCCUCCAGUCAACUACUGCUGAGGAGUUCAAGUGCUGCUCGGAAUUCAGCCCACUCUCUUGGUCAACAAGUUGAAGGUGUCCAUUCUCAAUCUCUUUCAGGUACACCACUAUCCCACUGCUUCUUCUUUAUUUUCAACAACUAAGAAGCUACUUCAACCUGGAGGGCACUUUGUUUUCAGUGAAAUGAGCCAACACUGUACAAGUCAACCAGUCCCCAUGAAAGCUGCAGGCAAUCUGAUUUCGGAGUAAGAACAUUGCAGUACUCUCUAGAAUAAUAAAUUCAUGGACAAUCAAAAGUUAAAAGUUUAUAAAAUCACUGACGUUCAAAUUUGUUAUUUUAGUGCUUAUUUGCCACGCUGCCGCAUUAGCAAAGAAAUGCAAUACUUGCUCCACCUGUUGGUUGUUUCGAUGCAACACGGGGUGAGUCAAAUUUAAAUUUUGAAGACUUAAAUAACUGUAUUAAAGUCAAAACUUAUGAAAAGCCCAAACCCCCAGUGUAUGAAUAGGCUCAACACUGUGUUACAAGCAACCCCCUGCGCCUCCAGAUACAGAGUACAAAUUAAAUGUUUGUUCAUAACAGCACUAGUGUGGUUGCUUUAGGGCAAAUGUCAGUCAUGUUAACACACACAAAUGAUGAGAUGUGUUUUUUCAAAAAAAAAAAAAUGCUCAGAGACUUGCAUUUUUUUUCUUUGUUGCUCUUUUUUAAACAAUAAUAUCAUCACAUAUAAACUGUCUCUAUCAUAAAUCAAUCUAUAAGACAUUUUACAACUCAAACUCAGCCUGAAGUACAGAAGAAAAGUACAUUUACAAAUACAUUAAGACACUGUGACACAAGGUAGCUGAGUGAAAAACAGUAAGGCACCGAUGCCGUCUGUGGCAUAGGUAGUUUUCGAAAAAAAAAAAAAACCCAAUCAAAACCAGCAUUAAAAACCAGAAAACUGUUUCUUCAAAAUGUGCCAAGAACAUGAAAUCAAAAGAAACAAUACUGCAGAGCAUAAAUAUGUUGUUUUAAAAACCUUUUUAGUGAAACACAUCUUGUGAAAGAUUAGCUAAACAUUGAAAGAGGAUGUUCUACCACGUGUCUGUGUCGUUUGGUGCAGGAGCAAAGAAAGGCCAUAAAAUCUUGAAAUUUAAAAACCACUAAAUUAGUAGCAUUCAAAUACAGUAUUUUACUUUGAAAACCAUCUAUCUGAAUUUAUAUGGUCUGAAUUUCAAAACAAACAGAAAAUGGAAAAUUUAAGGGUUUUCUUGUCAUUCAUUUGAACUUCUUUCACCACGUCUGACAGAACAUGACCGGAUAGAGGUCUGAUCAAUCCUCGACAGCCCAGAUGUUUACUGUACAUUUUAAUAUAGUAUAUUUUAAUUUUAUAAUUAAAUUUUGUUGUCUCAA
Long non-coding RNA from Seriola aureovittata, 1396 nucleotides. RefSeq lists it as uncharacterized. The record is from RefSeq and is a predicted model, not a curated record. The transcript has 2 exons. NCBI's taxonomy places the organism in Eukaryota, Metazoa, Chordata, Actinopteri, Carangiformes, Carangidae.